CGGGGGGGGGGGGGGUCCCUCAGCCCAGAUUGUGAGAGGAUGCAGGCCAGGCCAAGGGACCCCACUGGUGCACA
Molecule: non-coding RNA, 74 nt
Organism: Myotis lucifugus (little brown bat)
Lineage: Eukaryota; Metazoa; Chordata; Mammalia; Chiroptera; Vespertilionidae
Source: Rfam